CACCCAGAAGAUUCUAGUAAAGGCUGAAGGGAUAGAGAAAUCAUAUUCACAAGCCGUCUUGUUAGACUUGACUGAUAGCAAGCAGCAAACUACUCUGAAAACCUUGAGCUUCUCGUUUCCUCCUGACACAGUCAGUGGCAGUGAGAGAGCUCAGGUCACCACCGUGGGAGAUAUUCUUGGCCCU
Molecule: long non-coding RNA, 184 nt
Organism: Perognathus longimembris pacificus (Pacific pocket mouse)
Lineage: Eukaryota; Metazoa; Chordata; Mammalia; Rodentia; Heteromyidae
Exons: 3
Source: RefSeq, a predicted model, not a curated record